RNAcentral lists this ribosomal RNA (558 nucleotides) under Staphylococcus caprae. Its description in RNAcentral is "bacterial SSU rRNA". It matches the Rfam family "Bacterial small subunit ribosomal RNA", at positions 366 to 917 of the family's 1533-position model. Lineage: Bacteria; Bacillati; Bacillota; Bacilli; Caryophanales; Staphylococcaceae. The record is from RNAcentral.
UCGCAUGAGCGAGCCUGACGGAGCAACGCCGCGUGAGUGAUGAAGGUCUUCGGAUCGUAAAACUCUGUUAUUAGGGAAGAACAAAUGUGUAAGUAACUAUGCACGUCUUGACGGUACCUAAUCAGAAAGCCACGGCUAACUACGUGCCAGCAGCCGCGGUAAUACGUAGGUGGCAAGCGUUAUCCGGAAUUAUUGGGCGUAAAGCGCGCGUAGGCGGUUUUUUAAGUCUGAUGUGAAAGCCCACGGCUCAACCGUGGAGGGUCAUUGGAAACUGGAAAACUUGAGUGCAGAAGAGGAAAGUGGAAUUCCAUGUGUAGCGGUGAAAUGCGCAAAGAUAUGGAGGAACACCAGUGGCGAAGGCGACUUUCUGGUCUGUAACUGACGCUGAUGUGCGAAAGCGUGGGGAUCAAACAGGAUUAGAUACCCUGGUAGUCCACGCCGUAAACGAUGAGUGCUAAGUGUUAGGGGGUUUCCGCCCCUUAGUGCUGCAGCUAACGCAUUAAGCACUCCGCCUGGGGAGUACGACCGCAAGGUUGAAACUCAAAUGAAAUUGACGGA